This 1872-nucleotide long non-coding RNA is filed under the name Pelobates cultripes (western spadefoot toad). The record is from RNAcentral. Lineage: Eukaryota; Metazoa; Chordata; Amphibia; Anura; Pelobatidae.
CAGGGACUUCCCCACCCUAUACAUAUGGCUGCCACGGCACGCACGUCCAAAGGCCCCGCAGACCACACCAGCACUCACCACUUCCAUAGCCAUAUGGAAUAAACUUUCUUUACAACACGCGCUCACAUCGGACCCAUCACCCCUGGCACCAAUACUAAGAAAUGAACAAUUCUUACCGGGCAUGACCCCGCGUGACUUUGUUCGCUAUGAGGAUAACAACCUCCACAGAGUAUACCGGUUCUACAAGGACCAACGACUGAUUCCGUUCACAGAACUGCCCCAAACAGUGCCACUCACCACACGCGACUAUUUCCGAUACAUCCAGAUAAAAGACUUCCUAGAGACAACCGCCUACAAACGGGCAGGACAAACCCCUCUCACCCCCUUCGAACAAGCUUGUAUUCACACUCCUAUACGGAAAAGCCAAAUCUCCAUUACAUACACAUGGCUACUCAAAGCAACACAAAAACAACCGCUUAACUACGUCACGGCAUGGGAAAGGGACCUGGGCCCCCCCACCGACCCCUCAGACUGGGCGACCAUCUGGGAGGCCACAUCAAAAAUAACAAUAUGUGUCACACACAAGGAACAGGCCUAUAAGACCCUCAUGCGAUGGUACAUUACGCCACUAAAACUCAAACAGAUGGGACUAUCCACCUCAGACAGAUGCUGGAAAGGCUGCGGCCAACAGGGGACAUACUAUCACCUUUGGUGGGAAUGCCCUCUUAUUACACCAAUUUGGAGAGACAUAGCGACACUUGCAUCACGGGUCCUACAUGAUACCAUCCCUACAGACCCCUGGCUAUGGCUCCUAUCCAAACCUCUACCAGACACACCCCGCGCACACAACAAACUUUUGGCCAAACUAGCCCUAGCAACAAGGAGAGCCAUAGCUACCCACUGGGGGGCGGCUACGAUCCCAACAAUAACAGACGUCAAACGCAAAAUGAAUGAGGCGAGGCUCAUGGACGGAAUGUCAGCUCUCAUUCACGAGACCACAAUACAUUGCGACAAAAUCUGGGACCCAUGGCUCGCGGAGCCCUCAACCCACACCUAAUACACAACGCGGUGCGCCAUCCCAUUCCACCCCCCCUCUCCCCAUAAUCUAGCAACACACCCUCCCCCUUAUCCCUAACUCAGUGCCCAUCAGCGGACCCCCGACAAGGCAGAUAACAACCACACCAAAUCACUGCCACCACAUGCCUAGCAUCCCCCCAAAGUAAUCACACAAAGAAACAAACAAACCCCACAGACCACCGGAAGAUAUGAUACAGAAACGAAACAGAUGAUCCUGAGACCAAACCUCCUCUCUUCCCGACUGAAACCCUACCCCAGGGAAACUAAGGCAAAAUCGGCAACAUAAAGCCAAGAUACUACCACAACAUAAGGGUACCAUCGUAAAGAUGCAGUAUACCCAAACUACUUCAGGGAAAGGCCAGCAGCCAGCGCACAGGCAAGCAGAUAAAAAGCCCCCAACACCCUGUCCAUCACAACUGUACGGUAUCACCCACCAUAGUCUAACAGACGCUGAAUGAACACAUAGGGAACGAGAUGACUCCCCAUAAAACGCACACAAGCCAGACAAUGACACAAAGCCCUACUAAACGGACGCACAAGUCCCACAAUCCCCCCCCCUACCAUUUCAGGAACACACCCAAAACGGUAUCUCCUGAACUUGAACCCCACGACCAUAGAAACAAUCUGAUACAAGAGAUACAACCAAUUAACAAAAAAAAAAAAAAACACUGACAGAUCAAAACACCAGCUGAAAAACCAACGACUGAAAGAAACAAAGAAAGAGAAAAAACAGGCUUCUCGAAGAACAAACGUACUGCUAACCAAAUAAUUGUCUUCUUUCUGUAUAUGCACAGU